Talpa occidentalis (Iberian mole) is the source of this 459-nucleotide long non-coding RNA. RefSeq lists it as uncharacterized. NCBI's taxonomy places the organism in Eukaryota, Metazoa, Chordata, Mammalia, Eulipotyphla, Talpidae. The record is from RefSeq and is a predicted model, not a curated record. The transcript is spliced from 3 exons.
GCGUGGAUGAUGCGGCUGAUUCUUGCCCAGGGAGCUGGGGCAGAGAUUUUUUUCUUUCAGCAUGAUUUCAGGUAUGUACAGCCCGAUUCUGCUCUGACAUUUGUUGCAUGAAAGGAGGGAGGAGGGCACAGGCACCUGAGUCCCAUAAUAGUGGGCCAACCUCCUUGCCAUAUCCAUCGGACGGACCAGAUUUCAAAGCCUGGUACCCUCUUCUUCAGGGAUGAUACGAAAUGUCAGAUUUUUCAUACUUGCUAGCUUACUUCAUUUACUCACUGAGCAAGUGGCUAUUGGGCAUCUUAUCUUCUCCAUUCCGGUCCUGGAUUCAGUGCUGAGGACACCAUAGUGACCAAGAGCUUAAUAUUCCCUGCUCUCCUGUGACCUGUGAUGAGUGCAAAAGGCAGGCAGUAAGCCAACAACCACAGAAAUAAACAUAUCAUUGAAAACUAGCUGAGGACUGGU